Molecule: unclassified non-coding RNA, 837 nt
Filed under: Hevea brasiliensis (rubber tree)
Lineage: Eukaryota; Viridiplantae; Streptophyta; Magnoliopsida; Malpighiales; Euphorbiaceae
Source: RNAcentral
GCAAUUUUGCAAUCUUGGUUGAAAAAAAUAAAGUAGUUUGAGACCAGGUUCUGUGUCAGAAUAAGUUCAUCGGUGUAAGAAAAUGUCUGAAAGCAUAGAUUACAUCUUCCAUAUUCAAAUAAGCAGAAAUAAAAUUGCUUACUGGGUGACCACAUAACAGAAGUUGUAAAGAGUGUUCUAGUUGACACAUGGGGAUGUACAUCAUGCAUCCUUCAGGUAAAUUGUGUAGUGACAAAUGGUCUGGAGGUGGGGACAGCCCAUCCAGCAGUUCCCAUCUCAUGGUUUAAUACAACCAAAUCUACCACUUAACAUUGCGUGUAUACCUUUCCAACAAUUGGAUGUUUGGAAUGCAUUGACAACAAAAGCAAAAGAUGGGAAAAUUUGGAAUAAAUUUAUGGCAAAGAAUGGACAAAAAUGAUGGUGAUGAUGAUGGAAGAGUUUGAUGCUAAUGGUGUUUAAUAAGCUAUCUCUAUCAAACUACAAUAUUGAUUUUGUCUUUCACCAUAAUGAUUAUAAUGUUGUGCAUAUUAAUGACUCAUAACAUUGCAGAUUAGUGAACCUGCAUAUAUUAAUAGCUGCUAUCACUAGCUUGAAAAUUGAGGUUUGAAUUGCUUUGUUAAAGCAAUUUGCUGCAUAUGGAUGCGUAAUGUGUUCAAUAUUUUUGGUUAGAGCAUCUGUUUGAUCAUAGGAAUGAUUAAUUGAUUAUCAAUAAACUGGUCAAUGAUAAAAGUUGUGAGGGAUAAUUUUCAAUUCAAAUGUUUUCAGUUACCAUCUCAACUUUUCAUCUUUUUUAUAAAGUUCAAUUCUAACUACAGGGAUCUAGACUCACAGCUUUUG